This 980-nucleotide long non-coding RNA is filed under the name Gossypium raimondii (Peruvian cotton). RNAcentral describes it as "long non-coding RNA (GRAI_LNC006217)". The record is from RNAcentral. Lineage: Eukaryota; Viridiplantae; Streptophyta; Magnoliopsida; Malvales; Malvaceae.
UUGACUAUAAAUGUUUUGUUUUCAUAUUGAAGGAGUAAGCAGAUCAGUUUUGAGUAAGUUGAAUGCUUCCUUGCUGCACGUUUGUGAGCAAGUAAAUUGUUCUUUGUUUCUUCCUGCUUUGUUCAAUAUCUUGUUCUCUUCUUUUGUUGCUGUCAAAACCCCAACAACUUGGCAUGCCAAGUUCUCCCAGUGGAAUUGCAUAAGGCCAGAUUACACCUGUGCAUUGUCAAAUUUUUCCUAGUAAAGGUCGAUGGUAUAAACUGGAAUUCAAGAAGAGAAUAGAAACCAAAGAACAGACUGCGUAAGUUUUUUAUUUUAAGCUACUUGGAGUCAGCAAAAUGAUGAUUUAGAGAAUAGCAAUACCCAGGUUCUAGUUUUAAAAGUUACAAUUUUGUAUGUAUUGCAAAUGUAUGAUAGUCGCAUGACUACCAUAAAAGCUGGUUUAUCAUUACUUUUAUAAGCACUAGCUAUAUGAUUAGCGUGAGCCUUUUCAAUGGCUGUCAGCCGUUGCAUACAAUUGAGCCUCAGUUUUCACACUUCUCUGAGAUGUAAUUACAAAAAGAAAAAAUGACAUGAGCAUCUCAAUUUACAAGGGAGCACUCUUAUAAAAUAUUAAUUGAUAUCCAAGGAAGCUAAUGUAUUUGACUUCUGUUAAAAGAUGGCUUUUUUGCAGGCCAUUCAAGUCGAGCCAUGCAAGUUGCAGCUGAAGAAAAUGCUGUUGUUUUGUUGAUUAUUUGAUGUUUUGUUACUUAGUUACAUUUGAACUAAGUUUGUAAUGUAUUUGUUGUAAUUUGGUGCUGAUGGAUAUGAUAAAUCAGCUUAAUCAAGUGUGCAAGCAAAGUUUUAUAAGUUUCAUGACUUUGAUAGUAGAGUUAGGUGUGUUUAGGUAACUUUUUUUUUUUAAUUUCAGUCAAGCUGAUUACUUGAUAUAUGUAAUGAGAUGUUUUAGCAAUAUUAUUAUGAACCAUUCAUCAAAAUUC